AGGACGAACGCUGGCGGCGUGCUUAACACAUGCAAGUCGAACGAGGUCCAACCGGUGGCAACACUGGUGAAGACCGAGUGGCGAACGGGUGAGUAACACGUGAGCAACCUGCCCCGAAGACUGGGAUACCACCGGGAAACCGGUGCUAAUACCGGAUAUCCCUACCGGGCCGCAUGACCUGGUAAGGAAAUGGAUUCCGCUUCGGGAGGGGCUCGCGUCCUAUCAGCUUGUAGGUGGGGUAAUGGCCUACCUAGGCUCCGACGGGUAGCUGGUCUGAGAGGACGAUCAGCCACACUGGGACUGAGACACGGCCCAGACUCCUACGGGAGGCAGCAGUGGGGAAUCUUGCGCAAUGGGCGAAAGCCUGACGCAGCAACGCCGCGUGAGGGACGAAGGCCUUCUGGGUUGUAAAACCGUCUUUCAGCAGGGACGAUGAUGACGGUACCUGCAGAAGAAGCCCCGGCAACUACGUGCCAGCAGCCGC
RNAcentral lists this ribosomal RNA (484 nucleotides) under uncultured bacterium. RNAcentral's name for it is "SSU rRNA". It matches the Rfam family "Bacterial small subunit ribosomal RNA", at positions 26 to 518 of the family's 1533-position model. The record is from RNAcentral.